RNAcentral lists this transfer RNA (56 nucleotides) under Docophoroides brevis. RNAcentral's name for it is "tRNA-Gly". Lineage: Eukaryota; Metazoa; Arthropoda; Insecta; Psocodea; Philopteridae. The record is from RNAcentral.
AUCUAUUUAUUAUAUAAAUAUAUUCAACUUCCAAUUGAAAGAACCCAACGGGAAUA